AUGCAUGAUAGCCACCAAACUAUUCCUCAAAGUAAAUCAUCCCACUAAUGCCAUUAUUUAAAGGGACCAAUAACACUUACAUGCUUGUACGUACUUGUGCUCAUAAUUUUGAUUCACAAUGGAAAAUCAGCAAGAGAAACAGCAGCCCAAGAAACAGAAUUCAAACAAAAAGAAACCGCCUUUACCAGUUGGGAUAAGAAAAUGUUGUCCAUACUCAAAACCCAAGGGGGAUAGAAGCUUUCUUGAAGGAUGCCUCUUUGCUUUAUGCUGCUGUUGGAUCUGUGACUUGUGCUUUGAUACCACAGUUGUGAUUGGAUAAGAGGCUUGAUGAGAGGUUGCAGUGUAUCAAAAUCAUCUUCACCAGGAUCACCUAGCUUUUUUAUGUAUAAGAGAAAUAUGUUUCUAUAAUUUGAUUCAGUAAUUUUAUAUCCCUGUGUGUGAGAUAUCUAAUUCUUUGAGUCUGGCUCAAGCUUAUGUUCAUGAGUUGAUUACUUGUUUUAGUCCUGGGAAAUUUUCAAGUUCUAUAGAUAUAUAUGUAUUUGGAGCAGUUUCGUGUGCAUAAUGAAUAAAGCCAUAAGAGUCGAGCAUGGUUUUUCUUA
Manihot esculenta (cassava) is the source of this 599-nucleotide long non-coding RNA. RefSeq lists it as uncharacterized. The record is from RefSeq and is a predicted model, not a curated record. The transcript is spliced from 3 exons. NCBI's taxonomy places the organism in Eukaryota, Viridiplantae, Streptophyta, Magnoliopsida, Malpighiales, Euphorbiaceae.